Molecule: non-coding RNA, 136 nt
Organism: Triticum aestivum (bread wheat)
Lineage: Eukaryota; Viridiplantae; Streptophyta; Magnoliopsida; Poales; Poaceae
Source: Rfam
AUUCUACUCCCUCCGUUGCACAAUACAUGCCUUCUAUUUGUCAAAAUAUAUAUGUUUCUAGACAUGUUUUAGUAUAUAGGUACAUCCAUUUUUGGACAAAUGGAAGUCAAGUAUUUUGGAAUGGAGGGAGUACACA